CCUCCUAAUCUCCUUCCUAUACGAAAACUGAAUUUCCUUUUCUGACAACUGAGCAAGGCUCUGUGUAGAACAUAUAAUUAUGCUUCCCCAUAGAUUUCUGAAACUAUCACUUAGACAAGUUAUUCUCACCCAAUGACUGAAUCCCGUUCCUCACAGAAAAUGUGUAAUCCACUUUUGAGUUUGUUUGUAGACUUUAUCUUUGCCUUAGAGGAUGUCAGAUCCUGGUUGUAAAACGUCAGCUUAUACAGAUCGCUUCAUAGAUCCGGGAAUCACAAGACAACAAACAACUGAAGAAGGAAGGUUUGGGUUUUACUCACGUUUGAUUUCCAGCUUGGUUCCUUGGCCAAACGUCCACCACACAUGUGUACUUUGGUAGCAGUAAUAAACUCCGAUGUCGUCAGCCUCCACCCUGCUGAUUCUCAGGGUGAAAUCUGUCCCUGACCCGCUGCCACUGAACCUGUCUGGGACCCCAGAGUCCCGGUUGGAAACCUUAUAGAUCAGGAGCCGUGGAGACUGGCCUGGCUUCUGCAGGUACCAACUUAAAUAGGUGUUUCCAUUACU
Long non-coding RNA from Neofelis nebulosa (Clouded leopard), 561 nucleotides. RefSeq lists it as uncharacterized. Lineage: Eukaryota; Metazoa; Chordata; Mammalia; Carnivora; Felidae. The transcript is spliced from 2 exons. The record is from RefSeq and is a predicted model, not a curated record.